UUUUUUUUGUAAAUGGGUGAACUGUGUCUCCACAUUGAGAAGCAGAGGAGUGCUUUAACUGUUGGGAGCCUGUGGUCAGGAGCUGGGAGGAUUCUGCCUGUGGGUAACACUUCUGGCAGCAGCUAAGUGGGCAUUUUCAUUGAAUGGCUCUCCUGAGACAGCUUCUCCAGUCUUACAAGAUUUCUAAACUAUUGUUUCAAUUGGACAAAGAUGUUACCUAUCCUUAGAAUUCACAUAAAUUCUUACAUCUAAGGAAUUUAACUUCAGCAGAGGCCCUCACCUGCUGGCCUCCUGGAAAAAAUGAGAGAACAUCCCCCUCUCUGGAUAUUGGAAGAUCAUGUCUCCCGGAGCUGGAACUCACAUGAAGUAGCUGAGUCUGCCUGAAGAACUGCACAUAGGAAGUGCACCCAGCACUGUGCUGAAGCAUCAGAUAGCCUACCACAUAAUGCCAUGAUAUGGAAUACUGAUUAAACCAGGACAGUCUAUUAAGGUGUAGUGUAGAUGAUCAGAAAGUCUUUUAAUGGAUAAUGUAUGUUUUGACUUCUGAGGUUUAAUGUACGCAGUGAUGUUUUCCAAGCAUUGUUAUAACAGAAUCAUGGAAUGAUGUAAGUUAGAAGAUACCUUAAAGAUCAUCGAACUCCUAUUCUCCUGACUUGGGCAAGGUUGCCAAUCACUAGAUCAGGCUGCCCAGGAUUCCAUUCAAUGUGGCCUUGAACAUCUCCAGGAAUGGGACAUUCACUACUUCUCUGGGCAACAUGUUACAGUGCCUGACCACCCUCUGAGUAAAAAAUUUCUCCCUAACUUCUGACCUAAAUCUACCCUCUUUUAAUUUAAAACUGCCAAACUCACUGGAGUUACAGUCAAUCCUCCAGGAGGCACACUCCUGAGGGGCACCAUUUAUGACUGGCCUCCGCCUGGCUGUAGAUCCAAAAUUCAUGGCUGGCACUGUGAAAGUAUUCAACUCUGGAUGUACCUGCUGGUUGUAUAUGAUAGGUGGUGAAUUUGCGGUUGGUUUGUAUUUCAUAGUGGAAAGUAUAAUGGAUGCUUGUAUAAAGCACCUCAGUAGAAUGAAAAGAGUUAGAUACAGUUGGCUAAAUACUGUGGGCUUUUCUGCCUAAGUUGCAAAUAUAUGCUGUUUUCUUUGUAACGGUUUUACCCAUGCUAAGGCAGCUACAGAUGUCUCAAAAUGAGUGAAGGAAUACAUUAUUUAAUAGCAUAAUGUAGUGAGGAUUAUGCAACCAAGAGUAAGGAAAGUGUCAUGAUUUUAUGAUUUUUGGCUAUCAGUAUUCCACAUCAUAACAUUAUGUAGUGUAUGUACCUGGUUCUCAGAAGAGAGGAGCUACUACAUUCCCCGGAGGACUUUGCUACCCUGUCACUGUUUUUCCGGUCAGAGGGAAAGAUAAAAAUUCGCAUAUCACAAGACCUGCCCUCUCUCUUCUCGUUCCAUCUCUCGACCCGGCAGCAGCUCACUCCCCAGCGAUCUCACCAUCGGUAUUAGGGUCAAGACAGUGCCUGAAAUCUCAACCACGGGGCAAAUUUGCAGUUGAGGUGGAUGUGAGAAGCAAAAAGUGAAUAUCAGCCAGUUUUGAGCUUCAAUAAAUCCUCAUAGAAGAUUGCAAACUAACUUGUUACUUGGAUAAACAUAGAUGAUCUCUGCCAGUAUAGAAUCAGAGAAUCAUAUAAUAUCAUAAGCUGGGAGGGAUCCAUGAAGCUCAUCAAGUCCUGACUCCACAGAGGAUCACUUCAAGUUAAGCCAUAUUUCUGAGAACAUUGUUCAUACAAUUCCUGAACUCUGAGAGGCUUGAUACCAUGACCAGUUCUCCAGGGAACCUGUUCCAAGGUCAGAUCCCCUCUUGGUCAAGGACUUUAUCCUAACCCCCAGCCUGAUCCUAUCCUGGUGCAGCUCUGUGCCACUCCCUCGGGCCCUGUCACUGUUACCAGAGAGCAGAGAUCAGCGCUGCCCCUCUUCUCCCUGUGAGGAGCUGUAGGCCGCCACCAGGCCUCUCCUCAGUGUCCUCUGCUCUGGGCUGAACAAACAAAGGGACAUCAAUUGCUCCUCUCAAACCUUCAACCUCUUCAUAGCCCUAAAUUUAAAU
Long non-coding RNA from Numida meleagris (helmeted guineafowl), 2096 nucleotides. RefSeq lists it as uncharacterized. The record is from RefSeq and is a predicted model, not a curated record. NCBI's taxonomy places the organism in Eukaryota, Metazoa, Chordata, Aves, Galliformes, Numididae. The transcript has 7 exons.